Molecule: long non-coding RNA, 1805 nt
Filed under: Marmota monax (woodchuck)
Lineage: Eukaryota; Metazoa; Chordata; Mammalia; Rodentia; Sciuridae
Source: RNAcentral
UGACUGCCACAUCCAGACAGACUCAGGCCCCGCGACGUAAAGGAAUCAGCAUCUCCCAGCUCCCUGGACAUUUUUAUUUCUAGGCCAGAACAUUUGCCCCUGAUGGGGUGUGACCUCAUCUCACCAUGAAGCUCUUCUAAUGACACCCUGAGCUGCACUGUGAUGGUCACAUAAGUUGUCGGCACUGGCAGCUUCAGGGAUGUGGUCCCCUGAGAACUUAGAGAAGGACAGUAAUAAGCAGAGUUGCUUCCAGAGACAGACUGGCCCUUGUGGCAGCAAGAUUGAAUCAUAUCCUGAUGGAAAGAUCCAAAUAGAGAAAGUGUAGGUUAGACGGGGAGAGCUGGCCAAUGGCAGAAGAGCGGAGAAGGGCCAUGUGCCCAGAACAACACUGUCAGUGCCCUGAGCCCAGGGGAGAGGCCGCCCUUGCCCGUGGAUGGGCAUUUUACUUUUCAGAACAAAUUCAUCUCAUUCAAACGCUUGUCGUUCAUUUAUUCCUGGAACACACCUGUGCCAGCCACCACAUGCAUAAUUAUUUUUCGCUCUGUGGGUUACAGGUUGUAUCUGGCCUCCUUCUUGUAAAGCAGACUUUCACCCCCGUAUUGCUCAAUGCUGUAUCCUAGCAUGGGGCCUUGCUCACGGUUACACUGGACAGGUGAACACUACUUCAUAUAUCUGAGAGAGAGAUUCAGGAAAUUUCAUCACUAGACAGACAAUGAAGACACCAGCCCCCUGCAAGUCCACCCACAUAUGAGAAGGGAGGUCCCCUGUUCUUACUCUGAGCUCACUGGGCCACUUCCUGCUGGUGAUAAAGGUUCCCAUUCAGUCCCCCUUCAGGAAGAGAAUGUGGACACCCCAACAUGGCUACUAUUUUCCUUGCAAGAUAAUAAUAUAGUAAACCCCCUCAAUAUCCAAAGGGGAUUUGUUCCAGGGACCCCCUCUGGAUGCUGAAAUCCACAGAUGCUCAAUCCCUCAUAUAAAAAGGUGUGGUAUUUACAUUUAAGCAAUGCACAUCCUGUUGUAUACUUUAAAUCCUCCCCAAAUCACUUAUUAUUUUUUACCUUUAUUGUAUUUAUUUAGUUUUAUGUGGUGCUGAGGAUCAAACCCAGGGCCUCACAUGUACUAUGCAGGCACUCUACCGCUGAGCCACAGCUCCAGGCCCCCCAAAUUACUUACGUUACUUAAUACAAUCUAAGUGCAGUGGAAAUACUUGUGAUACUGUAUUGCUUGGGGAAUGAUGACUACUAACACAAUUUGGCUUUUAAAUAUUUUGCAUCCAAUAUUUUGCAUUUUGUUGGUUGAAUCCAUGGAUGUGUAACCUGCAGAUAUGGAGGGCCAACUGUAUCAAGGUAUAUCCAUCAGAUACAUAGGCUAGAUUCAUAAGAAUGGAAACACACACACAUACACACACACACACACUCAGUGGAGUCUCUGGGUAAGCUGGUGAUAGGGCUGGCAGUGGCAGGUGUCUGAGUGUGCCUGGGUGAGAGUCAAUGUGAUGAGCCUUCUGGGAGUCAGCUACCAGCCAGGAAGCCCCAGAGGCCACCUUUGGGGUCAGCUGGGCAAGACUCCUUUACUGGAGUGUUGGCACUAAGGACAGGCACAUCAUGGCUCAAUCCUGGAGCCCCGUUGCCUCUAUAUUCCAGAAGUGCUUCUCGUCCUUGACUAAUUCCACAGAGUUGGAGACCAUCCAGGCAAAGACGACUCUGGGGGAUCAUUGCACCAUAUCCCUACUUCAUAAUUAUCAUUUUUUCCCCUCCCCUCCCCUCACUGUCCAAUCUAAAGUUCCUCCAUUCUUCCCUACACCC